UGUGGGAUAGCUCAGGAGGUAGAGCAGCGGCCUUAUCGUGUGUCAUGGGUUCAAUUCCCCUUCCCACAA
RNAcentral lists this transfer RNA (69 nucleotides) under Caudoviricetes sp. RNAcentral's name for it is "tRNA-Lys". It matches the Rfam family "tRNA". From Rfam's summary of the family: Transfer RNA (tRNA) molecules are approximately 80 nucleotides in length. The record is from RNAcentral. Lineage: Duplodnaviria; Heunggongvirae; Uroviricota; Caudoviricetes.